RNAcentral lists this ribosomal RNA (505 nucleotides) under uncultured bacterium. Its description in RNAcentral is "bacterial SSU rRNA". It matches the Rfam family "Bacterial small subunit ribosomal RNA", at positions 11 to 530 of the family's 1533-position model. The record is from RNAcentral.
GUUUGAUUCUGGCUCAGAACGAACGCUGGCGGCGCGUCUUAAACAUGCAAGUCGAACGAUCUGUAGCAAUACAGGGAGUGGCGGACGGGUGAGGAACACGUAGGAAUCUACCUCAGAGAGCGGGACAACCUUGGGAAACCGGGGCUAAUACCGUAUAGUACAGAGAUGUUAAAGGGCUAGUAAUAGUCGCUUUGAGAUGAGCCUGCGGUCUAUCAGCUAGUUGGCGGGGUAAUGGCCCACCAAGGCAACGACGGAUAGCCGGUCUGAGAGGAUGAUCGGCCACACUGGCACUGAGACACGGGCCAGACUCCUACGGGAGGCAGCAGUUAAGAAUCUUGCGCAAUGGACGAAAGUCUGACGCAGCGACGCCGCGUGAAGGAUGAAGGCUUUCGGGUUGUAAACUUCGGUAGACUGGAAGAAAAGUAAGUUACGUUGAGGGCGUUACAUUGACGGUACCAGUCUGAAGCCCGGCUAAUUACGUGCCAGCAGCCGCGGUAAUACGUAU